CAGUAAUGCGUUUCGGUUUGAAGGGU
RNAcentral lists this non-coding RNA (26 nucleotides) under Bombyx mori (domestic silkworm). The record is from RNAcentral. Lineage: Eukaryota; Metazoa; Arthropoda; Insecta; Lepidoptera; Bombycidae.